This 1134-nucleotide unclassified non-coding RNA is filed under the name Hevea brasiliensis (rubber tree). The record is from RNAcentral. Lineage: Eukaryota; Viridiplantae; Streptophyta; Magnoliopsida; Malpighiales; Euphorbiaceae.
AAAAUUCUCUAACUCCACAGAAAUGUGGCUUAGGGACCACAUUGCAAAGUAAAUGAAGUUCAAGGAAAAGUUUAGAUCUAUGCUUUGACCUUUUAGUUCAUUUCUUAUUGAAUUUCAUGCAAGUAUCCAAAGAAAUAAAGGUCAAAGAAGUGAGAGUUUCCUUGAGCUACAAAAUGUAUAACAAUGAAUAUUCAUAUUUAUAUGGUUCUUAAGUAGAUUUUCUAUGAUGAUAUAUAGAAAGUAUGUGAUAUAGUCUGGUUUGGUUUCUUCCAGUUACAGGAACUAUACCGCUCAAUAAUGUAAAUUGCACACAGACCACAGUUUAAAUUACUUGAGCAACUUCUGCUUCUUCUCUUGCCACUCAUUCAUUUCAGCUUUAAUCAUUGCUUGAACAUUUUCAUGAAACCCUGGAUAUGGUUCGUAACCAAAGAAUUCUUGAAGAGCCUCCAGUAGCACAAAGAAGGGAGCCAUUAUCAGGGCUUGAAUGAGAUUGUCCAAAAGUGCUGGUGCUCGUUUCUCAAAGACACCAUGGCCAAUGAACUGUCCAGCCCAACAAACAAUUUGAGCCACCAGAACAACCUUCCAAGCAAGAGAAAACCCAAGCCAGCUAGCCACAAAACUACUAGCCACCCAACAAAAAGCACAAAGCAGAGCAGCCAAGGAACCAGCUUUCGCAUCCAGACAGAUAUAAAACAAAGCAUAGAUCAAAGUAAACAAGAAACCAAAAUUGAAAAGCAGAAAAACAUCGUUACCAAACAGAGAGAACUUGAGGUUAAACAGAGAAGGGGUAAAGUAAAGAAUAAGAAGAGCAGUGAAAAAGAUUGGCCAAACAAAUAUCAUGUGAAUCGCUAUGUUGAUCGGAUUACUAUGGUAUGCACCAUAGAAGGCAAAAUGCUUCUCUAGAUCAAACAAUCCACAAUUUCCCAUUACAGAUUUUCCGGGGAAAAACAAUAAAAGAGAAAAAUUUUCCAGUAAAGUUGCUGGAUUUCCUUGAAAAAGUGGGUGCGUUUCGUUUGCUUCUAUGGAAAAGGGAUUACGAUAAAUGGUAGGAGAAAAAUCACGACAUAGGAAGACUCUAAAGUCACCGCAGAGACGCCAUGAAAUUGGAGACUCAAUAUAUCUUGAUGACUUCAC